RNAcentral lists this ribosomal RNA (484 nucleotides) under uncultured bacterium. Its description in RNAcentral is "partial 16S ribosomal RNA". It matches the Rfam family "Bacterial small subunit ribosomal RNA", at positions 28 to 523 of the family's 1533-position model. The record is from RNAcentral.
GAUGAACGCUGGCGGCGUGCUUAACACAUGCAAGUCGAACGGUGAAGCAGGAGCUUGCUCCUGUGGAUCAGUGGCGAACGGGUGAGUAACACGUGAGCAACCUGCCCCUGACUCUGGGAUAAGCGCUGGAAACGUCGUCUACUACUGGAUAUGUGAUGUGACCGCAUGGUCUGCAUCUGGAAAGAAUUACGGUUGGGGAUGGGCUCGCGGCCUAUCAGCUUGUUGGUGAGGUAAUGGCUCACCAAGGCGUCGACGGGUAGCCGGCCUGAGAGGGUGACCGGCCACACUGGGACUGAGACACGGCCCAGACUCCUACGGGGGGAAGCAGUGGGGAAUAUUGCACAAUGGGCGGAAGCCUGAUGCAGCAACGCCGCGUGAGGGAUGACGGCCUUCGGGUUGUAAACCUCUUUUAGCAGGGAAGAAGCGAAAGUGACGGUACCUGCAGAAAAAGCACCGGCUAACUACGUGCCAGCCGCCGCCGUAA